Molecule: long non-coding RNA, 3902 nt
Organism: Oncorhynchus nerka (sockeye salmon)
Lineage: Eukaryota; Metazoa; Chordata; Actinopteri; Salmoniformes; Salmonidae
Exons: 10
Source: RefSeq, a predicted model, not a curated record
UUCUGUAAACACUUGAAACAUGUCCAAAAGCUUUACAGUGAUCACACUGCAUUGGUCUUGGAACAAAUGCUCUCUCUGUAGUUUGUAUAUCCCAAAUGCACUUGAGUAGGGAGAGAUUCCAAAAAUAACACUUUUUCUUCAUACACCCCACAAUUCAUCCGACAGGUAUCAAUCCCUCCAGGAAUAUUACUAAUCUCUGCAACAUCGACUUCCAGUGAAACGCCAGAUAUUACCCCCGUGAGGGGUGCCCUGUUCCGAAGAGACACACAGGACACAUCAAACUCGGCAAAUGGCACAAUCAAUAUCAACUGUCCCAGGAUGCACCACCACUAGCAGAGGGCCAGGAAAACCACCAAGCUGCCUGCAAGGCUGAAUAAUGUAUCAAUCCCUCCAGGAAUAUUACUAAUCUCUGCAACAUCGACUUCCAGUGAAACGCCAGAUAUUACCCCCGUGAGGGGUGCCCUGUUCCGAAGAGACACACAGGACACAUCAAACUCGGCAAAUGGCACAAUCAAUAUCAACUGUCCCAGGAUGCACCACCACUAGCAGAGGGCCAGGAAAACCACCAAGCUGCCUGCAAGGCUGAAUAAUGUAUCAAUCCCUCCAGGAAUAUUACUAAUCUCUGCAACAUCGACUUCCAGUGAAACGCCAGAUAUUACCCCCGUGAGGGGUGCCCUGUUCCGAAGAGACACACAGGACACAUCAAACUCGGCAAAUGGCACAAUCAAUAUCAACUGUCCCAGGAUGCACCACCACUAGCAGAGGGCCAGGAAAACCACCAAGCUGCCUGCAAGGCUGAAUAAUGUAUCAAUCCCUCCAGGAAUAUUACUAAUCUCUGCAACAUCGACUUCCAGUGAAACGCCAGAUAUUACCCCCGUGAGGGGUGCCCUGUUCCGAAGAGACACACAGGACACAUCAAACUCGGCAAAUGGCACAAUCAAUAUCAACUGUCCCAGGAUGCACCACCACUAGCAGAGGGCCAGGAAAACCACCAAGCUGCCUGCAAGGCUGAAUAAUGUAAGCAAAUGGCACAAUCAAUAUCAACUGUCCCAGGAUGCACCACCACUAGCAGAGGUCCAGGAAAACCACCAAGCUGCCUGCAAGGCUGAAUAAUAUGUACAAUUGAGAGCAUCCUGUUGGGCUGUAUCACCGCCUGGUACUGCAACUGGGCCGCCCACAACCGCUGGGUUCUCCAGAUGUCUCUGAAUGUCCUUGAGUGGCCCAGCCUGAGCCCGGACUUGCUCCCCAUUGAACAUCUCUGGAGAGACCUGAAUAUAGCUGUGUAGCGAUGCUCCCCAUUGAACCUGACAGAGCUUGACAGGAUCUGCAGAGAAUAAUGGAAGAAACUCCCCAAAUACAGGUUUGCCAAGCUUGUAGCAUCAUACCCAAGAAGACUCGAGGCUGUAAUCGCUGCUUAAGGUGCUUCAACAAAGUACUGAAUAAAGGGUCUGAAUACUUAUGUGAAUGUGAUAUUUCAGUUUUGUAUUUUUUAUACAUUUGAGUCUUUUGGCAAACUCCAAGCGGGCUGUCAUGUGCCUUUUACGGAGGAGUGGCUUCCGUCUGGCCACUCUACCAUAAAGGCCUAAUUGGGGGAGUGCUGCAGAGAUGGUUGUCCUUCUAGAAUGUUCUCCCAUCUCCACAGAGGAACUUUAGAGCUCGGUCAGAGUGACCAUCGGGUUCUUGAUCACCUCCCUGACCAAGGGCCUUCUCUCCCGAUUGCUCAGUUUGGACGAGCGGCCACUUCUAGGAAAAGUUUUGGUGGUUCCAAAUGUAUUCCAUUUCAGAAUGAUGGAAGCCACUGUGUUCUUGGGGACCUGCAAUUCUGCCGAAAUGUUUUGGUACCCUUCACCAGAUCAUGGCUUGGUUUUUGCUCUGACAUGCACUUUCAACUGUGGGACCUUAUAUAGACAGGUGUGUGCCUUUCCAAAUCAUGUCCAAUCAAUUGAAUUUACCACAGUUGGACUCCAAUCAAGUUGUAGAAACAUCUCAAGGAUGAUCAAUGGAAACAGGAUGCACCUGAGCUCAGUUCCGAGUCAAAUAGCAAAGGGUCUGAAUACUUACGUAAAUAAGGUGUUUGAGUUUUUAUUUUUAAUACAUUUGAAGAAAAUGACAAAAAACCUGUUUUUGCUUUGUCAUUAUGAGGUAUUUAUUGUGUGUAGAUUGCUGAGUUGUAAUUUAAAUCCAUUUUAGAAGAAGGCUGUAACACAACAAAAUGUGGAAAAAUUAAAGGGGUCUGAUUACUUUCCGUAGGCACUGUACAUGUAUAUACAAUACCAGUCAAACGUUUGUACACACCUACUCAUUCAAGAGUUUUUCGUUAUUUGACUAUUUUCUACAGUGUAAAAUAAUAAUGAAGACAUCAAAACUAUAAACUUACACAUAUGGAAUCAUGUAGUAAACAAAACAAGUGUUAAACAAAUCAAUACUUUGAUGACAGCUUUGCACACUCAUAGCAUUCUCUCAACCAGCUUCCCCUGGAAUGCAUUUCCAACAGUCUUGAAGGCGUUCCCACAUAUGUUGUGCACUUGUUGGCUGCUUUUCCUUCACUCUGCGGUCCAACUCAUCCCAAACCAUCUCAAUUGGGUUGAGGUCGGGUGAUUGUGGAUGCCAGGUCAUCUAAUGCAGCACUCCCUCACUCUCCUUCUUGGUCAAAUAGCCCUUACACAGCCUGGAGGUGUGUUUUGGGUCAUUGUCCUGUUGAAAAACAAAUGAUAGUCCCACUAAGUGCAAAAAAUAUGGGAUGGUGUAUCGCUGCAGAAUGCUGUGGUAGCCAUGUUGGUUCAGUGUGCCUUGAAUUCAAAAUAAAUCACAGACAGUGUCACCAGCAAAGCACCAUCACACCUCCUCCUCCAUGCUUCACAGUGGGAACCACACAUUCGGAAAUCAUCCGUUCACCUACUCUGCAUCUCACAGAGAUACGGGGGUUGGAACAGAUUUCCACUUGUCUAAUGUCCAUUGCUCGUAUAUCUUGGCCUAAGCAAGUCUCUUCUUAUUAUUGGUGUCCUUUAGUAGUGGUUUCUUUGCAACAAUUCGACCAUGAAGGCCUGAUUAACACAAUCUCCUCUGAACAGUUGAUGUUGAGACGUGUCUGUUACUUGAACUCUGUGAAGCAUUUAUUUGGGCUGCAAUUUCUGAGGCUGGUAACUCUAGCUCUGGGUUUUCCUUUCUGGGUUUUCCUUUCCUAUGGCGGUCCUCAUGAGAGCGAGUUUCAUCAUAUUGCUUGAUGGUUUUUGCAACUGCACUUGAAGAAACUUUCAAAGUUCUUUAAAAUUUUCAGAUUGACUGACCUUUAUGUCUUUAAGUAAUGAUAGACUGUCAUUUCUCUGUGCUUAUUUCUGUUUUUGCCAUGAUAUGGACUUGGUCUUUUACCAAAUAGGGAGAGCUAUCUUCUGUAUACGACCCCUAACUUGUCACACAACUGAUUGGCUCAAACGCAUUAAGAAGGAAAGAAAUUCCACAAAUGAACUUUUAACAAGGCACACAUGUUAAAUGAAAUGCAUUCCAGGUGACUACCCCAUGAAGCUGGUUGAGAGAAUGCCAAGAGUGUGCAAGCUGUCAUCAAGGCGAAGUGUGACUAAAAUAUAUUUGAUUUGUUUAACAUUUGUUUAACACUUUUUACUAUGUGUUAUUUCAUAGUUUUGAUGUCUUUACUAUUAUUCUACAUUGUAAAAAAUUGUAAAAAAUAAAGAAAAACCCUUGAAUGAGUCGGUGUGUCCAAACGUUUGACUGGUACUAUAUAUAUAUAUAUAUAUAUACAUAAAUUACUAUGCCCCUACCCCCUUCUCCCCUGUUUAGAAAACUUGGUGGAAAACAUUAAAAUUUAAUAUAUACUGUACAGUUGAAGUCAAAAAUGUACAUAAACCUUAGCCAAAUACAUUUAAAUUAAAUUCAGUUUUUCACAA